GACGAACGCUGGCGGCGUGCUUAACACAUGCAAGUCGAACGGAAAGGCCUGCUUUCCCUUGUGGAUUGCGGGUACUCGAGUGGCGAACGGGUGAGUAACACGUGAGUGAUCUGCCCCCAACUUGGGUAUAAGCCUGGGAAACUGGGUCUAAUUCCCGAUAGGACUGCAGGGUGGUGCCUGUGGUGGAAAACGAUUUUCUAGUGGUUGGGGAUGAGCUCGCGGCCUAUCAGCUUGCUGGUGGGGUAAUGGCCUACCAAGGCGGCGACGGGUAGCCGGCCUGAGAGGGUGGACGGCCACAUUGGGACUGAGAUACGGCCCAGACUCCUACGGGAGGCAGCAGUGGGGAAUAUUGCACAAUGGGCGGAAGCCUGAUGCAGCGACGCCGCGUGGGGGAUGACGGCCUUCGGGUUGUAAACUCCUUUCGACCGCGAGGAAGCCACCUGGUUGGAAGGGUGGUGACGGUAGUGGUAGAAGAAGCACCGGCUAACUACGUG
Molecule: ribosomal RNA, 494 nt
Filed under: uncultured bacterium
Lineage: Bacteria
Description: partial 16S ribosomal RNA
Rfam family: Bacterial small subunit ribosomal RNA
Source: RNAcentral